UUCUUUCCUUCUAACAUUUAUCAUGUUCUAAAAUGCUAUUAUUAACUUCGGGAGUAUGUAGCUUACUAAUACUUGUCCGAGUUUCCUAUUGCUCAUUGUUGGCUUUUGUUGAGUUUGUAAUUUGUGUGUUUAACUGGAACACAUUUACAGCAGAAAAUCCUGUCUUGAACUUUUCUUAUUUUGUCCAAUAGAAUCUCGUGGCAUAGUGUCAUAGCUGCAAAGUGGAGUUCUAUCCUCAAAUUUCAUAGGAAAUAGUCCAACUGUACAUUGAAAGAUUAUGCAAAUCUUCAAGGAGCAUCUAAUCAAUCACCGCGGUGUGAGAGGAAUGCAGCCCAUCGCUGAAUUAGCUUCUGUUGGAAUGUAUUCAUGUGUAACAUCCCACUGACUGGAUGACAUCACAACAGCUCCAGGUCCUUGAAAGUCUUGAGGAUGAUUAGCUGAAGGAAUUGGCUGUUUCUGCCAAUCAUAAUCCAGCAAAGCUGCCUUUAUAGUUCUGGAGAUAUGAGAGAGAGGGAGGGAGAGAAAGACCGACUACAGCUAAACAAGAGGCACAGCAGCACUAGCAACAGCAGAGCAGGAGCAGCUGGUAUUCCGGUGAUUAAAUAGUUCUCAUAGCCUUUUUGCUGUACUCGGUCUGCUCCCUGGUGUAAUUCUCGUGUCCAAGAAGGAAGCUGCAUUUUAACGGUGUGCUGAACAGAGGUUUGAAUCAUUCCAGCUGGCUGCUUGUUUUGAAAAGGACAAUGUGUGUAUAAAUAAAAGGACUCUGCUGGAAGAGUUCAGAUACUAAGACUGGAGCUAGAGAGUGCUCUUGGAAUAUUGUUGAGGCAGAUUGCAUGAACUGAAAGCUCCUUCUAAUUAACCUGGAGCCAAGUGAACCUGAAUACUGGAUACCUCAUGUUCUAACUCGGGAUAAAUUCAAGUUAGGAAAAGGCAAAAUAUUGAAAUGCUUCUCUAGAUUAUGCUUAGAGGAUUCUGCAGCAAUUCUUGAUAUUGGACAUAUUCAAAAUCUCCUCAACUUAUGUCCUCCCCGUCUAUUGCCUUCCAGCUUUAACUCAGUUGUGCUCCCUUCAAACAUUUUACAUGAUUUGCAAUGGUUACAUGAACUCUGGGGAAGUCAUAUUUGCAACAUCUCAUACUUUAUUCACUAUGGCACUUUAGGAAAAGAAAUUGGGGAAAAGCUU
RNAcentral lists this long non-coding RNA (1181 nucleotides) under Papio anubis (olive baboon). Its description in RNAcentral is "lncRNA (ENSPANG00000040812.1)". Lineage: Eukaryota; Metazoa; Chordata; Mammalia; Primates; Cercopithecidae. The record is from RNAcentral.